This is a long non-coding RNA of Lucilia cuprina (Australian sheep blowfly), 693 nucleotides long. RefSeq lists it as uncharacterized. The record is from RefSeq and is a predicted model, not a curated record. The transcript is spliced from 3 exons. Lineage: Eukaryota; Metazoa; Arthropoda; Insecta; Diptera; Calliphoridae.
AGAAUAAUGUUUCUAUAAAUUUUAAAUGUCGAUCAAGUGCCAUGUCUGGAAUAGUGUUAACGUUGUGAAGUGAAAUAACUUAUUUCACAUAAAUUUUAUAAAAAUUUUACCAUUUAAAGUAUUUUAAAGUUAUUAAACAUUUCAAUAUUUUUUCAUAAAGAUGGUUUGUUAAUUGUGAAUCGUAUAUUUUUAGAAUUUUUCUGUUUCAUGAAAAAUACAUGCAUACAAACAUACUGGACGAUUUUUUAAUAUUGUACAAUAGAAUUUAGAUCAAUAUUUGAGAAUAAUAAGUUUCGAAUACGAUUUACGGAACAUUCCGCCAGGACUAGGCAAUGACAGACGAUGAUGUGUUGCUGCCUACAAUACCCGUUAGAGAACUACUGGGACCAAUUGCUGAUUUAAACUUUUCUAUUGUACCAUUUAUUAAGUCUCGUGCGGAAAAUUUCUUUUGUUGGUCUUUGGAUAUUGGCGUAAUCCAGUUAGCUGUGGUGAAUAUAGACAACGUGGGAUCACAUUCCAUGUAGUUAUUAGCGAAUUGUACUUUAUCCGCUUGAGAGCCAACGUACCAAUAUUUCCAAGCCAAAAAAGUAACCAACAGAAUGUAAUUCCAUAACGGGUCCUAUAUAACGUAUAAUACAAUCGAAAUUUGUACCGGGUUUAUUAAACAUUUCGCCCGCAACACUGACAAAUUCA